Molecule: transfer RNA, 86 nt
Filed under: Colletotrichum chlorophyti
Lineage: Eukaryota; Fungi; Ascomycota; Sordariomycetes; Glomerellales; Glomerellaceae
Rfam family: tRNA
About the family: Transfer RNA (tRNA) molecules are approximately 80 nucleotides in length.
Source: Rfam by way of RNAcentral
GGCUGAAUGGUCUAGAGGUAUGAUUCCUGCUUUGGGUUCUGAAUCCAGCAUGCAGGAGGCCCCGGGUUCGAUCCCCGGUUCAGCCC